CUAUUUUUUCAGACCGUUGGUUUAAAUUAUAUUAGUAAAUCAAUAUGGAUCGUUGGUUUAAAGUUUUAAUAGUGAAUCAGUAUGGAUCGCUGGUUUAAAGUUUUAAUAGUGAAUCAGUAUGGACCGUUGCUAUAAGUUUUAAUCUGGACCGUCCGUUUAAAAGUAAAUCAAUCUAGACCGUUCAGGAAUUAGUUACUAUUCAAUCCAUUCUCCUAUAAAUAGAAGCUCAUUCCUU
Molecule: long non-coding RNA, 235 nt
Filed under: Panax ginseng (ginseng)
Lineage: Eukaryota; Viridiplantae; Streptophyta; Magnoliopsida; Apiales; Araliaceae
Description: long non-coding RNA (PGIN_LNC012825)
Source: RNAcentral